CAGAGGUCCCGAGCGUUGUUCGGAUUCACUGGGCGUAAAGGGUGCGUAGGUGGUGAGGUAAGUCGGAUGUGAAAUCUCCGGGCUCAACCCGGAAAUGGCAUUGGAAACUACCUUGCUGGAGGAUUUGAGGGGGGAUUGGAAUACUUGGUGUAGCAGUGAAAUGCGUAGAUAUCAAGUGGAACACCAGUGGCGAAGGCGAAUCCCUGGAAAAUAACCUGACACUGAGGCACGAAAGCUAGGGGAGCAAACAGGGUUAGAUACCCUGGUAGUCCACGCCCUAAACGAUGUCAACUGGUUGUUGGGUCUUUACUGACUCAGUAACGAAGCUAACGCGUGAAGUUGACCGCCUGGGGAGUACGGCCGCAAGGUUG
RNAcentral lists this ribosomal RNA (371 nucleotides) under uncultured organism. RNAcentral's name for it is "bacterial SSU rRNA". It matches the Rfam family "Bacterial small subunit ribosomal RNA", at positions 526 to 896 of the family's 1533-position model. The record is from RNAcentral.